Molecule: transfer RNA, 89 nt
Filed under: Planctomycetota bacterium
Lineage: Bacteria; Pseudomonadati; Planctomycetota
Also listed under: 1 other name
Description: Planctomycetes bacterium (bioreactor metagenome) tRNA-Leu
Rfam family: tRNA
About the family: Transfer RNA (tRNA) molecules are approximately 80 nucleotides in length.
Source: RNAcentral
GCCCGGGUGGCGGAAUUGGCAGACGCGCCAGGUUCAGGUCCUGGUUUCCUUAACCGGAAUUGGGGGUUCGACCCCCCCCUCGGGCACCA